Molecule: non-coding RNA, 114 nt
Organism: Acanthosepion pharaonis
Lineage: Eukaryota; Metazoa; Mollusca; Cephalopoda; Sepiida; Sepiidae
Source: the annotation of a GenBank genome assembly
UUACGACCAUAUGACAUUGAAACAUUGGUGCUCGUAUGAUCACCAAAGUUAAGCAAUGUCGAGCCUGGUCAGUACCUAAAUGGGUAACCACCUGGGGAUACCAGGUGCUGUAAG